Rattus norvegicus (Norway rat) is the source of this 5344-nucleotide non-coding RNA. Lineage: Eukaryota; Metazoa; Chordata; Mammalia; Rodentia; Muridae. The record is from RefSeq and is a predicted model, not a curated record.
AGGAGGAGGAGGAGGAGGAGGAGGAGGAGGAGGAGGAGGAGGAGGAGAAGAAGAAGAAGAAGAAGAAGAAGAAGAAGAAGAAGAAGAAGAAGAAGAAGAAGAAGAAGAAGAAGAAGAAGAAGAAGAAGAAGAUCACAGCACUUCUUUCUUUCUAGAUUGAAAUCAGUUUAAUCAGGGAAGGAAAGAUGGAUCAGAAGUUAAAAGACCAUGUUGCUCUUCUGGAGGACCCUCAGUUCACUCCUGUGAACUGGACUGUUCACAACCACCUAUAACUCCAGCACCAGAGUAUCUCACACCCUCUUCUGGCCUCUUUGGGUACUGCACUCAUGUGCACAAACCCAUCUACAGAUACACAUAUAUAAAUACAAACAGAUAAAUAAAAUCUUAAAGCAAGACAGUACAGUGUUACUAACCACGUCUAAUGUGAUUCAAAUGUUUAAAAUUUUACCAAAGGAAAUCUCCGAAUGGAGGCUAUGGUUAUCCAGUUUUCAACAUUUGAUUUCAAGUGCUUCGCUUCAUUUCCCUACUCAAAUACCCAGCUUAAAGGGUUAGAAUGUUACCAGUCCAGUUUUCAAAGACAUAGGCUACUUGGAACAGCCUAGCGCCUGAGGUCAUGGAAGACUUAAAAAUUAUCAACAACGAAGGUAGCAGCUUUUCCAACAAAGCAAUAAGUCUGUUUACCAGAGAGUCUCCAAUUCCACGCUCUCUUACAACCCUACCUAGAGACCAAAGCUCGAACUAAUCCUUUCUCAACUAAAAACAGAGAGAGAGGCAAAGAGUCACAGAGAGGGACAAAAGACCGCCACUUGGUUUUCAUGGUAUGGUCACCUUUUAAAUGCCAGUCUCCUAUGGACUUCUGUGGGUCCUCUGUCACCCUAAGACUCAUCCCUGAUUCCUCAAUCUGCUCCACUUGCCCCACUCAGUCAGUACCUGGUCAUACCACAGAGAGGAAAUGAAGACUGAGGCUGUUCUCUGGCAGCAGCUGGAUUUGCCUUAACAGAUAGGGAAAUAAAGACAGGCUGAGGGAAAGGCUAGCAGAAUUUUACAAUAAUCGCUUUGCUUUCUGUGGACAUACUGUCAAUAAUAAAAGCUUUCAGAGCUCUAAAACAUUGUGGAAAUCAUAUCCUCGGAUACAGAAACCGACAAGACAGUAAGUCAAUGAGGCUUCUUUUGAGAAUUGUCAGUUUGGUAAGAUGAUAAUUCUAUUGAUUUUUUUUCCCCCUCAGGAAAAGCUGAGGAAAAGAUGAUUACUUUAAAAAAAAUUUUUUUAGUGAGUGUGGGGGUGUCUCUUGGUGACAAGAACAUGUGUUCUUAGUAGGCACGAGGCCCAGUAAUUGUGUCUCCUUCAAGACAAAAAGCAAAAUCAUCAUCAGCGAAUGGAUACGAUUUCAAAAUAUCGGGUGAGCAUUUAAAAACAAGAGGGACCAGAGAUGUUUUUUAAAAGCACAGUGUGUAUGUUAUGUCUUAUGUAUAAGAGUCAUAAGACACAAACAAAACACAAGACUUGGCUUACCACGCAACAUAUACGCCGAACGUGACUUAAUCUUCUUUAGAAUUCGGAAAAUUACGAAAUGUCUCUGGUUUUACUUUCCAGACAUCAUUCUCAGAGCCUACACGAGUUAUCACAGGCACUGCCGAGGGCCUUCAGCAAACAGCCGUUUUUCUGUACUGCUCGAUACGUAUGGAUUAUUGAAUAUUAAGACACCAUUGGGGCGCUGGGGGUGUUAAAACAUAAAAUAAUAUUUGGAUAUUACAGGACUUCAGCUGUGUGGCUUUUCUUUCAAUGAUAUAUGACAGUAGCAGAGGAAGACAGGCCAACCACAUCUCUCAAGCCAGCAUGAGAACUUGGACGUAAACUCACAUGGGAGGAGCUGCAAACCGAAGCUCCUAGAAACGUCCUACCCCGUCUAGCUCCUAGGCUUGGGGCCUCUCUUGUGUGGCCUCCGACAGCAUCUCAUUCAUUGCCUGGAUCAGUGAGUUACAGGUACUCCAUUAAAUUACACACUAAAUAAGCCACGUUCACAGGCUUAUCUCUAGCACACAGCAGACUAACUAGCUGGGACGGAUAUUACUCUCCUGCUUGCCAUGACCAAAGGUACCUUAAGGGGCGAAGGUGGCUUAUUUAGGCUCACAAGGUGACAGUAUAGCCCAUUGUCAUAGAAAAGGCAUGGCAACAGGAGACGCUGUUGGUGGCUGUUGGCUUCUAUCUGGGUAGAUGGGGGACAGCAGAGCUUCACUAGUGCCUGAGGUGUUUCCAACCAAGUCCACAAUGAAGAUGACAGGUGGUGAUGGCCGGAAGGGAUUGGAAGAAAAUGGAGGACAGAAAUGAAGACCAUGGGGGCUGGGGAUUUAGCUCAGUGGUAGCGCUUACCUAGGAAGCGCAAGGCCCUGGGUUCGGUCCCCAGCUCCGAAAAAAAAAAAGAACCAAAAAAAAAAAAAAGAAAUGAAGACCAUGAAGAGAUAACCUUUAUCAUGACCACAUUCCAAAUAAGACAGCAAAGGCUGGGGGUGGUUAGACAGUGUGUCCAAAGGUCACAAAGUCACCUGUUAGAAGUCACAGUAGCAUCAGCCACUGCUAAAACCCAUGCAGCCCCAGUCUGCUACUGAGGGCUCCACACUGACCCCCUGUUGACUUAAGACCUGGACAAGUCUGCCAAGAAUUCACUGUGUUUAACACCAGUUAAUGGCGAGUACAAUAUCCAUUUAGUAAUUAACAUAAAAUAAAUGCCAGAUGCCAAAUCUGUCCUCUAGAAAUUGCAAGGUCAAGUGUCUGUUGUUAUUGGAAUAAAAACACUGUGCUAUAAACAACUUGGAAAGGAAAGAAUUUAUUUCAGAGGAUAAUGGUCGGGCCAGACUCCAUUGCCAAGUAAGGGCAAGAACUCAAACAGGGUAGAAACCUGGAGGCAGGAACUGAUGCAGAAGCCAUGCGAAGUUUGGGGAUGCUUGGUGGUCUGCUCCUUAUGGCUUUGCUCAGCCUGCUUUUUUUAAAAAAAUAACACCCAGGACCAAUAGGCCAGGGGUGGCCUCACCCACAGUGAUAUGGGACCUCCCAUACGAAUUAUCAGUCAAGAAAAUGUACCACAGGCUUGCCCACAGGUCAAUCUGGUAAGGGCAUUUUCUCAGUGAGGUCCCCUCUUCUCAGAUGACUCUAGCUUGUGUCAAGCUGACAUAAAAUCUAGCUGGCACAGGGCUGAACCGACCCAACAGUAACUGGACAGUUGUCAACUUUGGUCAGGCAUGCUGGGGUUGCCAGCAGUAACAGGGUAGGAAAGAGGAGCCAUCGGCCCAAUGGCCUCAAACGGAGCAUUCUGUGACAGCACAGCUGUGUCGCCACAACCUGUGGCAGAUUGCAGCACUGUCUUUAUUUCAAGAGGGGAGCAAACCAGAAAUGUCCGGACCUUGAGAGUCAUUUGGAAGAUUGUUCAUAAGUAGGCUUGCCUCUAAAACACAACCUCCCUCCUGUAACUUCACACCCAAACUAGAAAUCCAUUGACCGCACACAAAAGGCAAGACCCACAGGCUUCCUCACCCUCUGUAUAGUUCUGAUUCCUUAAUUCCUGUUCGUGUAGUCCGAAGAAGCUUCAGUCCUGUUUCUUCAACGUAAUGUUAAGUCGCAAAGAAUAUAAACAGGCAAGCCAGAAAUACAACCCCGGUCCAGUUCCACGUCCGUGCUCCCUGCUGCACACCGCAAUCACCAAGAGACAUUUAUGGAAAGAAGAGGAGGGGUGAGGAGGAGGGAGCUAGUGGGUGCUUAGCUUACAGGGAAAAAGCCUAACUCUACAACUCAUGGAAUUACCAUCAUCUCUGGCUACUUCUCAGCCCUGUGCCGUUUGUUGGUUUCUUGAUAUAUUUAGCUCAUGUUGACCAAUGGAGCUGUUUAUCAAGGCAUUGCACAGAGUGAAGGGAAGUGUAAAAUCAGGCUGAAGAAGAGAAAUAUUAGCAUCAACUGUGGAGAAACAUGAUCAACACUGUGUUGAAGUCAGGGAGUGCUGGCAUACACCACAACCCUCAUUGUGGGCUAACAUUCUCCUCUUGCCUCAGCAAAAAGAAGGUUAAAGGAGGGGGCAGCAUUUUUUUUGUGGGGGGGAGCAUUUUUAAAGUCCCUUCCUUGGUUACUAGGAAAUGACCGUUAAUGUUCUGGAACAAGAAUACGUCAUAAUGUUUUUCUUAUCGAGAACAUUCCAAGCUGUCAGAGACCAAGAUGCUCUGUCCAGAGCGAGAGCCAUCUCAGCUGCUUCUAGAGAACACAAAGAAAGUUCCACCAUCCCAAGGAACGAGCACGUCAAUUAGCCUAAGAAAACAGAACCUAACUACAAAAGCCUAAACUAAAUGAAUCAGCUUCCUCUCAAGAUCUCUCGAUGGCAGACACCCAGAGACAUGAGGAGGUCAGAGAACAACUUGUGGACUUCCAUUCGCUCCUUUUACUCUCUACCACCUCGGAUUGAAUCUGGGUUGUCAGGCUCUGCAGCAAAAUGCCUUUCUGUGCUGAGCCAUCUCUCUGGCCACUAGGUUAGAUUUUUUUUUUUCACAAGAAACUGGUACUCGGAUGAUAGAGGGAGGAGGAUAAUAAGACCAUCGUGUCUCAAGAGGAGGAGGAAAAGGAAGAGGAGAAGGAGGAAGAAGAGGAUGAAGAGGAAGGAGAAGCGGAGGAGGAAGAGGAGGAAGAGGACAAAGAGGAGGAAGAAGAGGAAGAAGGGGAAGAGGAGGAAGAAGAGGAGGAGGAGGAAGAGGAAGGAGAAGAGGAGGAAGAAGAGGAGGAGGAGGAAGAGGAAGAAGAGGAGGAGGAAGAAGAGGAGGAGGAGGAAGAGGAAGAGGAAGAAGGGGAAGAGGAGGAGGAGGAGUAGGAGGAGGAAGAGGAGGAGGAAGAGAAGGAGGAAGAAGAGGAAGAAAAGGAAAAAGAAGAGGAGGCAGAGGAAGAUGAAAAGGAAAAGGAGAAGAAAGAGGAGAAGGAGGAGGAAGAGGACAAGGGAGGGGAAGAGGAGGAGGAGAAGGGGAGGAAGAGGAAGAGGAGGAGAGAGGGGAAGAGGAGGAGGAGGAAAAAGAAGACGGUAACAAUGACAACAGCUUUCUCAGGAGACCAAAGCACUCUUAACAAGUAAGUGUUCAGCCAAACUUUGUUUUCCAUCUGAACACAAAAAAAGCUAUGGUUAGCUGUGCACUGUGGAACUUGUCGCUUUGGCCAUCUGCCAUGUCUUAGUGCUUCAAAGUACCUCCGUGUUCUUUAAAGCUUUCUGAUAGAAAUCCGGGGUGGGAAACAGUUCCUUUCCUUCUUACAGUGGUGGAUCUAAAUUAAUAACAAUAAAGACAUCAAAUAGGUGGCCAGCCAUUCGCAGGCGUAAUCACA